UACGGGGGGGGCAAGCGUUGUUCGGAAUUACUGGGCGUAAAGGGUCUGUAGGUGGCCAACUAAGUCAGACGUGAAAUCCCUCAGCUUAACUGGGGAACUGCGUCUGAGACUGGAUGGCUCGAGUGCAGGAGAGGAAUGCGGAAUUCCAGGUGUAGCGGUGAAAUGCGUAGAUAUCUGGAGGAACACCGGUGGCGAAGGCGGCAUUCUGGACUGCAACUGACACUGAGGAGCGAAAGCUAGGGGAGCAAACGGG
RNAcentral lists this ribosomal RNA (253 nucleotides) under uncultured bacterium. RNAcentral describes it as "partial 16S ribosomal RNA". It matches the Rfam family "Bacterial small subunit ribosomal RNA", at positions 524 to 776 of the family's 1533-position model. The record is from RNAcentral.